Molecule: ribosomal RNA, 1731 nt
Filed under: Piona sp. HP-Hyd015
Lineage: Eukaryota; Metazoa; Arthropoda; Arachnida; Trombidiformes; Pionidae
Description: SSU rRNA
Rfam family: Eukaryotic small subunit ribosomal RNA
Source: RNAcentral
UCAUUAAAUCAGUUACAAUCUAAUGAAUAUUGACCAUAUUCUACAUGGAUAACUGUGGUAAUUCUAGAGCUAAUACGUGCAACAUGCCUUGACCUCUUCGCAAGAAGUAAGGAAUAGGUGGCACUUUAUUAGACCAAAAUCAACGGGUGCGCUCCUCACCGAGCACACCUUGAGACUAUGGUGACUCUGGAUAACUGUUGCUGAUCGCAUGGCCUCUGUGCCGGCGAUGAGUUCACAGAGUAACUGCCUUAUCAACUUGAUGGUAGGUUCAAUGCCUACCAUGGUUGUUACGGGUAACGGGGAAUCAGGGUUCGAUUCCGGAGAGGGAGCCUGAGAAACGGCUACCACAUCCAAGGAAGGCAGCAGGCACGCAAAUUACCCACUCUUAGCACGAGGAGGUAGUGACGAAAAAUACCGGUACAGGACUCUUAGGAGGCCCUGUAAUCGGAAUGAGUACGAUCUAAAUCCUCUAACGAGGAUCUAGUGGAGGGCAAGUCUGGUGCCAGCAGCCGCGGUAAUUCCAGCUCCAUUAGCGUAUAUAAAAGUUGUUGCGGUUAAAAAGCUCGUAGUUGGAUCUCAACUCAUGCCUCGCAGGUCCACUGUGUGUUCAUUCACACGUUGGUCACUUACUUGGCUGAGUUACUUUAGAGAUUGUACACACUGUAUGAUGCUCUUCACCGAGUGUCAUGCAGCGAUCUCUUUGUUUACUUUGAACAAAUUAAAGUGCUUAAAGCAGGCAGUUCAACUGCCUCUGAAUAUACAUGCAUGGAAUAAUGAAAUAGGACUUCAGUUCUAUUUUGUUGGUUUUCGGACCUGAAGUAAUGAUUAAGAGGGACAGACGGGGGCAUUAGUAUUGAGACGCUAGAGGUGAAAUUCUUGGACCGUCUCAAGACUAACAACAGCGAAAGCAUUUGCCAAGAAUGUUUUCAUUAAUCAAGAACGAAAGUUAGAGGUUCGAAGGCGAUCAGAUACCGCCCUAGUUCUAACCAUAAACGAUGCUAACCAGCGAUCAGCACGAGUACUAACAAGCACUCUGCUGGAAACUUCUCGGGAAACCAAAGUCUUUGGGUUCCGGGGGAAGUAUGGUUGCAAAACUGAAACUUAAAGGAAUUGACGGAAGGGCACCACCAGGAGUGGAGCCUGCGGCUUAAUUUGACUCAACACGGGGAAACUCACCCGGCCCGGACACUACAAGGAUUGACAGAUUGAUAGCUCUUUCUUGAUGCAGUGGGUGGUGGUGCAUGGCCGUUCUUAGUUCGUGGAUUGAUUUGUCUGGUUAAUUCCGAUAACGAACGAGACUCUAACUUAUUAACUAGUUUAGUGUGUACCUUCACGGUCCGCACUUAACUUGAACUUCUUAAAGGGACAAGCGGCGUUUCAGCCGCACGAAAAAGAGCAAUAACAGGUCUGUGAUGCCCUUAGAUGUCCGGGGCUGCACGCGCGCUACACUGAAGAGUGCAGCGUGAGAAGGUGCAACCUACUGUUCAGAGACAGUGGGGAACCAUGAGAAUCCUCUUCGUAAUAGGGACAAGGCAUUGUAACUAUGCCUUCGAACGAGGAAUUCCCAGUAAGCGUGAGUCAUCACCUAGCGUUGAUUAAGUCCCUGCCCUUUGUACACACCGCCCGUCGCUACUACCGAUUGAAUGAUUUAGUGAGGUCUUCGGAUUGAUUAGUGACGCGUUGUUCAUUCGACGCAUCACCGAUUGAGAAGACGACCAAACUUGAUCAUUU